AGUCACUGACAUUAGAUACCCGGGUAGUCCAGGGUGUAAACGCUGCAGACUUGGUGUUGGGAACCCUUCGGGGGUGCUCAGUGCCGGAGAGAAGUUGUUAAGUCUGCUACUUGGGGAGUACGUCCGCAAGGAUGAAACUUAAAGGAAUUGGCGGGGGAGCACCGCAACGGGAGGAGCGUGCGGUUUAAUUGGAUUCAACGCCGAAAACUCACCAGCAGCGACUGUUACAUGAAAGUCAGGUUGAUGACCUUACUAGAUUUUCAG
Molecule: ribosomal RNA, 264 nt
Filed under: uncultured archaeon
Lineage: Archaea
Description: partial 16S ribosomal RNA
Rfam family: Archaeal small subunit ribosomal RNA
Source: RNAcentral